GCUUCUGGGAUAGCUCAGUUGGUAAGAUCAUGAGAUUCUUGAUCUCAGGGUUGUGUGUUCAAGCUCCACCUUGGGCA
Podarcis lilfordi (Lilford's wall lizard) is the source of this 77-nucleotide non-coding RNA. NCBI's taxonomy places the organism in Eukaryota, Metazoa, Chordata, Lepidosauria, Squamata, Lacertidae. The record is from the annotation of a GenBank genome assembly.